CGAAACCAGUCCCUGGUGCCAAAGAGGUUGGGGACCGCUGCUUUAGAGGACCGACAAUCCUCAAUUUGGAAUUCCAAAGAUGUACACAUUUAGAUUUGGAUAGGAAAGAUGCACUUGCAGUUAAGCAUUCCUAUUGGAAGUAUCGCAUGGGCAAGGCCCAAGGAUGGAAAAGGUGAGGGGAAAACAGACUGAGGACGAAAAGGAAAAGAGUUGAAGAUGAUCAUCUAUGUCUGAAGAAGAACCGCUGGAAUAACAAAGUUAUUUCCUAUCAUAAACAGGCAUCUGGCCAAUACUGUGAAGUAUUUGAGAUAAUGGAAGUGCUCCAGCCGACAAACAUAUUCUCAAAGACACAUUUACCUCUGUGAUGCAGCUAGUGAUAACUCAAAGGCCUCCUGCUCUGCAAAACCUCACCAAGCCCAAUUUAUGUUCCACUCAUGAAAUAAACAAGUCUUAGC
Hippopotamus amphibius kiboko is the source of this 455-nucleotide long non-coding RNA. RefSeq lists it as uncharacterized. NCBI's taxonomy places the organism in Eukaryota, Metazoa, Chordata, Mammalia, Artiodactyla, Hippopotamidae. The transcript has 3 exons. The record is from RefSeq and is a predicted model, not a curated record.